AGAGAUUCUGUCAACAACAAAUUGUACUUUUAUUAAGUUUUCUUAGGUUCUAAAAUGUCUCACUCCUUAACCCCCCUUUUUCCCUAUACACUCCUAACCUUUUGCCCCUCACCCUUAUCUCUCACAUCUCUCCUUUGUUUAACAUAAGUUGAUAGAGACACCCCCAAUGAUGACACCCCCACAUACUCCUCCAUAAACCCUUACCCUUUCUCCCCCUGCUGUGUUCAAAGCAGUUUCUCCUGUAUGUAAAGUCCUGCUAAAAUGUCUUAGUAGUUCAGUCAAGCUCAGUCUAGUUGAGUCACAGACAGUAACAGACAGACAAGUCACAUGGACUAGUCAGGCGGACACAGAGGGAGCAACGACCAACUAAGCUGUGCCCGUGUAGAUUUUCUGUCUGCACGAGAAUAAACUCAGGUCAUCUCUCAAGCUGUCUCCUGAUUCCUGAUUCUGACUCCUGAUUCCUGAAAGCCGAAUUUCUAACAACUUGGUGCCGUGACCCGGAUGGCCUACUGAAACCUACUUGAUCUGUUGGAGCCAGACAGUGCUCCAGCCAAUCCAGCAUGGCGAGAACAAUUUGUGACGUGUCGGACGCAAGCCUCAACAGUUGAAGAGACAACUGAUGUUCAAAGUGGACUUCCCAGAUUACCUGCCUUUCACCGACAUUGAAGCAAUCGCCAUGGACAUCCACACACACACACACGCACACACAAUGUGGCUGCUCAAAAGAGGAGAUGUGUGAUGUAAGAGGAGACAUCACCACAUGGGAGCAAGCCUCUUGGAAAACCAUGGACAACUACUGAAACUUUCUUCAUUAUUCUUCAGGAACAUUUUUGGGACCAAGUAACAGCCAUAAACAGAUCCAAUACUUGGUUACAUCAACUUUUCUGACAUUUAUGGUACAAUUACAGUUGUAUAGUUACAGCUCUUUAAUUGUUUAUACAUAUGACAAUUUAUUGUACAUAGUUUUGUGAUUCUCCAUGUUGGGAGAAUCAGAGG
This is a long non-coding RNA of Astyanax mexicanus (Mexican tetra), 996 nucleotides long. RefSeq lists it as uncharacterized. NCBI's taxonomy places the organism in Eukaryota, Metazoa, Chordata, Actinopteri, Characiformes, Acestrorhamphidae. The transcript is spliced from 2 exons. The record is from RefSeq and is a predicted model, not a curated record.